UACGGAGGGCGCGAGCGUUAAUCGGAAUUACUGGGCGUAAAGCGCGCGUAGGCUGUUGUGUAAGUUGGGGGUGAAAUCCCACGGCUCAACCGUGGGACAGCCCUUGAUACUGCGCGACUUGAAUCCGGGAGAGGGUGGCGGAAUUCCAGGUGUAGGAGUGAAAUCCGUAGAUAUCUGGAGGAACAUCAGUGGCGAAGGCGGCCACCUGGACCGGUAUUGACGCUGAGGCGCGAAAGCGUGGGGAGCAAACAGG
This 253-nucleotide ribosomal RNA is filed under the name uncultured bacterium. RNAcentral's name for it is "partial 16S ribosomal RNA". It matches the Rfam family "Bacterial small subunit ribosomal RNA", at positions 524 to 776 of the family's 1533-position model. The record is from RNAcentral.